This 422-nucleotide ribosomal RNA is filed under the name uncultured Mucilaginibacter sp. Its description in RNAcentral is "bacterial SSU rRNA". It matches the Rfam family "Bacterial small subunit ribosomal RNA", at positions 355 to 774 of the family's 1533-position model. Lineage: Bacteria; Pseudomonadati; Bacteroidota; Sphingobacteriia; Sphingobacteriales; Sphingobacteriaceae. The record is from RNAcentral.
UAAGGAAUAUUGGUCAAUGGGCGGAAGCCUGAACCAGCCAUGCCGCGUGCAGGAAGACGGCCCUACGGGUUGUAAACUGCUUUUAUACGGGAAUAAACCUCCGGUCGUGACCGGAGCUGAAUGUACUGUAAGAAUAAGGAUCGGCUAACUCCGUGCCAGCAGCCGCGGUAAUACGGAGGAUCCAAGCGUUAUCCGGAUUUAUUGGGUUUAAAGGGUGCGUAGGUGGCCUGGUAAGUCAGGGGUGAAAGACGGUCGCUUAACGAUCGCAGUGCCUUUGAUACUGCCGGGCUUGAAUGAACUAGAGGUAGGCGGAAUGUGACAAGUAGCGGUGAAAUGCAUAGAUAUGUCACAGAACACCGAUUGCGAAGGCAGCUUACUAUGGUUUUAUUGACACUGAGGCACGAAAGCGUGGGGAUCAAACA